This 315-nucleotide unclassified non-coding RNA is filed under the name plant metagenome. RNAcentral describes it as "partial contains 5.8S ribosomal RNA, internal transcribed spacer 2, and large subunit ribosomal RNA". The stretch from base 1 to 105 matches the Rfam family "5.8S ribosomal RNA", at positions 50 to 154 of the family's 154-position model. The record is from RNAcentral.
GAACUGCGAUAAGUAAUGUGAAUUGCAGAAUUCAGUGAAUCAUCGAGUCUUUGAACGCACAUUGCGCCCCCUGGCAUUCCGGGGGGCAUGCCUGUCCGAGCGUCAUUGCUGCCCUUCAAGCCCGGCUUGUGUGUUGGGUCGUCGUCCCCUCCGGGGGACGGGCCCGAAAGGCAGCGGCGGCACCGCUUCCGGUCCUCGAGCGUAUGGGGCUUUGUCACCCGCUCGAUAAGGACCGGCCGGGCGCCAGCCGGCGUCUCCAACCUUUUUUUCUCAGGUUGACCUCGGAUCAGGUAGGGAUACCCGCUGAACUUAAGC